This 253-nucleotide ribosomal RNA is filed under the name uncultured bacterium. RNAcentral describes it as "partial 16S ribosomal RNA". It matches the Rfam family "Bacterial small subunit ribosomal RNA", at positions 524 to 776 of the family's 1533-position model. The record is from RNAcentral.
UACGUAGGGUGCAAGCGUUGUCCGGAAUUAUUGGGCGUAAAGAGCUCGUAGGCGGUUUGUCGCGUCGAAUGUGAAAACCCGGGGCUUAACCCCGAGCCUGCAGUGGAUACGGGCAGACUAGAGGUAGGUAGGGGAGAAUGGAACUCCUGGUGUAGCGGUGGAAUGCGCAGAUAUCAGGAAGAACACCGAUGGCGAAGGCAGUUCUCUGGGCCGUAACUGACGCUGAGGAGCGAAAGCGUGGGGAGCGAACAGG